This is a small nucleolar RNA of Cavia porcellus (domestic guinea pig), 137 nucleotides long. NCBI's taxonomy places the organism in Eukaryota, Metazoa, Chordata, Mammalia, Rodentia, Caviidae. The record is from Ensembl.
AAGACCCAGAAUCAAGGCCAGCAGUUUUCUGAAACUGCUGGUUUCAAGCAGGAGCCUAAAGUGGUGUCUUUCCAUGGUCUCUUGGCCAUUUCACAGCUUUAGAAAUGUAAUGGUCAAUUCAUCAGAAGGAAACAACU